RNAcentral lists this ribosomal RNA (417 nucleotides) under uncultured bacterium. RNAcentral describes it as "bacterial SSU rRNA". It matches the Rfam family "Bacterial small subunit ribosomal RNA", at positions 355 to 786 of the family's 1533-position model. The record is from RNAcentral.
UGGGGAAUAUUGCACAAUGGGGAAACCCUGAUGCAGCAACGCCGCGUGAAGGAUGAAGGUUUUCGGAUCGUAAACUUCUAUCAACAGGGACGAAACAAAUGACGGUACCUGAAUAAGAAGCCCCGGCUAACUACGUGCCAGCAGCCGCGGUAAUACGUAGGGGGCAAGCGUUAUCCGGAAUUACUGGGUGUAAAGGGAGCGUAGGCGGCACGUCAAGCCAGAUGUGAAAGCCCGGGGCUUAACCCCGUGGAUUGCAUUUGGAACUGGCGAGCUAGAGUACAGGAGAGGAAAGCGGAAUUCCUAGUGUAGCGGUGAAAUGCGUAGAUAUUAGGAAGAACACCAGUGGCGAAGGCGGCUUUCUGGACUGAAACUGACGCUGAGGCUCGAAAGCGUGGGGAGCAAACAGGAUUAGAUACC